GACAGAGGUCCCGAGCGUUAGGCGGAAUCACUGGGCUUAAAGCGUGUGUAGGCGGUUGCCUAAGUACCUUGUGAAAUCCCACGGCUCACCCGUGGAACUGCUUGGUAUACUGGGUGUCUUGAGCCACUUAGGGGCUACCGGAACAAAUGGUGGAGCGGUGAAAUGCGUAGAUAUCAUUUGGAACGCCAAUGGUGAAAACAGGUAGCUGGGAGUGUGCUGACGCUGAGACACGAAAGCCAGGGGAGCAAACGGG
Molecule: ribosomal RNA, 253 nt
Filed under: uncultured bacterium
Lineage: Bacteria
Description: partial 16S ribosomal RNA
Rfam family: Bacterial small subunit ribosomal RNA
Source: RNAcentral